UACGGGGGGGGCAAGCGUUGUUCGGAAUUACUGGGCGUAAAGGGCUCGUAGGCGGCCAACUAAGUCAGACGUGAGAUCCCCAGGCUCAACCUGGGAACUGCGUCUGAUACUGGAUGGCUUGAAUUCGGGAGAGGGAUGCAGAAUUCCAGGUGUAGCGGUGAAAUGCGUAGAUAUCUGGAGGAAUACCGGUGGCGAAGGCGGCAUCCUGGACCGACAUUGACGCUGAGGAGCGAAAGCUAGGGGAGCAAACGGG
This 253-nucleotide ribosomal RNA is filed under the name uncultured bacterium. RNAcentral describes it as "partial 16S ribosomal RNA". It matches the Rfam family "Bacterial small subunit ribosomal RNA", at positions 524 to 776 of the family's 1533-position model. The record is from RNAcentral.